This 1065-nucleotide long non-coding RNA is filed under the name Anolis carolinensis (green anole). RNAcentral describes it as "lncRNA (ENSACAG00000038785.1)". Lineage: Eukaryota; Metazoa; Chordata; Lepidosauria; Squamata; Anolidae. The record is from RNAcentral.
AUGGGAGAGAGAAUAGAUAUAAAAGACCUAAAGAACAUAAAAGCAGGCCCUUGCUUAACAAUGUUGUCAAUCUGGAAAAAAUGGCAAACUAAAUUACAAAUAAAUAAAAUUGACCCUUUCCCAUUAGAAACAUUGGAAAAUAAGGAUAAGAUAUUUAGGAAUAUAAUUAAGGCACUGAAGGAAAAUGGUAUUAAAAGGAUUGGGGACCUUAUGGACCCCAAAGGAGAAAUAUUAAAGUGGGAUAAAAUAAAAGAUAAAUGUGGCCAAGGGAACUGGAUAGCAUGGUUAGGUUUGUCCAGUAAAGCCCAGGCCAUGAAAAGAAGAGAAGCAGGUGAAACCCCCCUGAAUAGAAUAAUUAGAAGGAAAUUAGAAACAGACAAAGGAAUGAUUGGGUUAUGGUAUGAUGUACUAACUUAUAGUAUGAAAGAAACGCUUACAGAGAUCUGGAAACAGGAAAAAAACUUUACUGAGAAACUAAUUGGGUCAUGGAUCAAUAAUAUUCAUAAAAUUAAUCAUAUAAGGAUCAAAGAAACACAAAGGAAAAUAAUCACAAAAUGGUAUAGAACCCCCCUACAAUUGGCUCAUAUAACGGGAAGUACCUCGAACAAAUGUUGGCAUAAAUGUGGGGGAAUAGGUUCAUUCUCCCACAUGUGGUGGGACUGUAAAAAAAUUCAAAUCUUUUAUAGCAAAAUAAGAAAAGAAAUGGAAGAAAUAAUAGGGAAAGAAUUAAUAUGGGACAAAGCCAGAUUUAUGUCCCUCACAAUAAAGGUAAGGGAAGAUAACAAUAAUUGGACCGAGAUUCUAAAAUAUAUGACAGCCGCAAUACAAGCCACAAUAGCCCGAGGAUGGAGGGAUGAGACAAAAUGGAACGUAGAAAUUUGGUGGUCUUAUAUAUCAGAAUAUAUAAUCAAUGAUUUCAUUAAUCAAAGGAAAAGAAAAUAUACAAAUUGUCUAAAAGAACCUGACUGGUUCAGGAAAUGGUCAGUCCUAAUUAACAAAAUAGAUGGAGACGAAAGAUACACCACCUUGAACCAGGCGUUCCACACAGUUAAAAUGAUACAAUGA